CCUACGGGUGGCAGCAGUGAGGAAUAUUGGUCAAUGGACGCAAGUCUGAACCAGCCAUGCCGCGUGAAGGAAGACGGCCCUAUGAGUUGUAAACUGCUUUUGUACGAGGGUAAACGCAGAUACGCGUAUCUGUCUGAAAGUAUCGUACGAAUAAGGAUCGGCUAACUCCGUGCCAGCCGCCGCGGUAAUACGGAGGAAUGAAGGGUUAUCCCGAUUUAUUGGGUUUAAAGGGUGCGUAGGCGGGCGGAUAAGUUAGAGGUGAAAUCCCGAGGCUCAACUUCGGAAGUGCCGUUGAUACUGUUCGGCUAGAGAGUAGUUGCGGUAGGCGGAAUGUAUGGUGUAGCGGUGAAAUGCUUAGAGAUCAUACAGAACACCGAUUGCGAAGGCAGCUUACCAAGCUACUUCUGACGUUGAGGCACGAAAGCGUGGGGAGCAAACAGGAUUAGAUACCCGUGUAGUC
This 460-nucleotide ribosomal RNA is filed under the name uncultured bacterium. RNAcentral's name for it is "partial 16S ribosomal RNA". It matches the Rfam family "Bacterial small subunit ribosomal RNA", at positions 338 to 795 of the family's 1533-position model. The record is from RNAcentral.